UUGAAAGGGGCCAAAAUUGCCCCUAAACUAUACGGGUAGAACACUUUUUUCCUUUUCCGUACGAAUUUUUGAUUUUUUUUUUUUUUUAAAAGAUUCCGUUAGUUGAGACGGCAAAAAUGACACAUUUUGGUAACGGCGGGGGGAAAGAAACAACCCAACUAUUAACGGAGGGCAAAAGUGUCGUAUUAAGGACAAUUUUGGGCCUUUUUUUAUUCUUUUAGUUAAAUAACUAUAGAGAAAUUAAGGAAAAUGCUCCUCGGAAGCCAUUUCACUACUAUAAGGUCACAACUUAGGAUCACAAAGAAAGGAAUAACUGUGACGGGGCGAACACUUCCUCCAAAUUUGGUAACAAAAAGUCACGGUCUGCCGCUUAUAGGCCUCAUAAGAGCCCCAACAGCUCGUAAUUUCCCUAAAAUUCAGUUUCCCUAAUCUAAUGCGGGAAGCUAUUCAAGCCUAAGAAACUUGAGAGCCACAUGAAAUCCUGCAAAGGAAUGAAAGCCCUGGCAAGAGGUAGAAUUCCUAUUAUUACAUCUGAGAAGUCAUCCAAGCAUCCAUCACAAGUCGACUCUGUUUCUGGAUAUUACUUGGCUCAUUAGAUUCUUUUCUCGAAUUAUUUUUUCUUUUGUUUUGGAUUUAGAAUUUGCAUUUCAAUAGGAUACUUGUACAACUCUCCAUGUAAAGUGGAAUUGAUAUAAUCUGAUAUGUAAUGAAAUGAGAGAAGGAAGAAGAUGAUAUGAUGAUGAAGAAGAAAAGAAGUAUUAUUCA
Lycium ferocissimum is the source of this 765-nucleotide long non-coding RNA. RefSeq lists it as uncharacterized. Lineage: Eukaryota; Viridiplantae; Streptophyta; Magnoliopsida; Solanales; Solanaceae. The record is from RefSeq and is a predicted model, not a curated record. The transcript has 3 exons.